AGAGUUGAUUCUGGCUCAGGAUUAACGCUGGCGGCAUGCCUAAUACAUGCAAGUCGAAUGAGAAGCUUGCUUCUCAUGGCGAACGGGUGAGUAACACGUAGGUAACCUGCCUUACACUCGAGGAUAACCGUUGGAAACGACGGAUAAUACUGGAUAGGACAAAGAUUCGCAUGAAUCGUUGUUUAAAAGCAAUGGUGUAUGAGGGGCCUGCGGUGCAUUAGCUAGUUGGUGAGGUAACGGCUCACCAAGGCGAUGAUGCAUAGCUGGACUGAGAGGUUGAACAGCCACAAUGGGACUGAGAACGGCCCAUACUCCUACGGGAGGCAGCAGUAGGGAAUUUUCGGCAAUGGGGGAAACCCUGAACCCGAGCAAUGCCGCGUGAACGAUGAAGUAUUUCGGUAUGUAAAGUUCUUUUAUUAGGAAAGAUAGUGACGGUACCUAAUGAAUAAGCUCCGGCUAACUACGUGCCAGCCGCUGC
RNAcentral lists this ribosomal RNA (478 nucleotides) under uncultured bacterium. RNAcentral describes it as "bacterial SSU rRNA". It matches the Rfam family "Bacterial small subunit ribosomal RNA", at positions 8 to 518 of the family's 1533-position model. The record is from RNAcentral.